RNAcentral lists this long non-coding RNA (262 nucleotides) under Salmo salar (Atlantic salmon). RNAcentral describes it as "lncRNA (ENSSSAG00000092715.1, ENSSSAG00000096013.1)". Lineage: Eukaryota; Metazoa; Chordata; Actinopteri; Salmoniformes; Salmonidae. The record is from RNAcentral.
GUUAGCUCGUUAGGUGCACAAUCCGAUUGCGCAACACUGCCUGAUAUAAAAUAUCUAACGAAGGUUAGGUAAUAAUGCAGCCCUUAUUCGAGCUGACCCUAAUGCUGCACACUCCAACAGUGGAGGCUGAGCCCUGAAAUCCCAAGCAUUCAGGCCAGCAGCCCCAGAGGUGAGGAAAUGGCUGUCUGAUCUGUACUAAGCCCCCAGGCUUAAAUCCCUCUCAGACUGGCAGCUAAUGCGAGCCUGUGUGGGACCACACCAG